UAUAAUAUGACAUUAGUUAAAAUUUGUUGGUUUCUUUGGCUAAUGUAAUGAUUAAAAGGGACAGUUGGAGUAAUUUAUAUUGGUUGGGGAGGGGUGAAAUCCUAUGAUCCUUCCAAGAUAAACUAGUGCGAAAGCAUUUUACUAGGAUGUUUUCAUUAAUCAAGAACGAAAGUUGGGGGAUCGAAGAUGAUCAGAUACCGUCGUAGUCUCAACCAUAAACUAUGUCGACUAAGGAUGAUAAAAUAUUAAAUGAAUGAUUUUUGUCGCACUUUAAAAGAAAUUAAAGUAUUCAGACUCCGGGGGGAGUAUGGUCGCAAGGCUGAAACUUAAAGGAAUUGACGGAAGGGCACCACCAGGAGUGGAACCUGCGGCUUAAUUUGACCCAACACGGGGAAACUUACUAGGUCAGGACACAGUAAGGAUUGACAGAUUGAAAGCUACUUUCUUGAUUUUGUGGUAUGGU
This 463-nucleotide ribosomal RNA is filed under the name uncultured eukaryote. Its description in RNAcentral is "SSU rRNA". It matches the Rfam family "Eukaryotic small subunit ribosomal RNA", at positions 818 to 1278 of the family's 1831-position model. The record is from RNAcentral.